GAUGAACGCUGGCGGCGUGCUUAACACAUGCAAGUCGAACGAUGAAGCUGGAGCUUGCUCUGGUGGAUUAGUGGCGAACGGGUGAGUAACACGUGAGCAACCUGCCCCUGACUCUGGGAUAACAGCCGGAAACGGCUGCUAAUACCGGAUAUGCACCAUGAACGCAUGCUCUGUGGUGGGAAAGAUUUUUCGGUUGGGGAUGGGCUCGCGGCCUAUCAGCUUGUUGGUGAGGUAAUGGCUCACCAAGGCGUCGACGGGUAGCCGGCCUGAGAGGGUGACCGGCCACACUGGGACUGAGACACGGCCCAGACUCCUACGGGAGGUAGCAGUGGGGAAUAUUGCACAAUGGGCGAAAGCCUGAUGCAGCAACGCCGCGUGAGGGAUGACGGCCUUCGGGUUGUAAACCCCUUUUAGCAGGGAAGAAGCGAGAGUGACGGUACCUGCAGAAAAAGCGCCGGCUAACUACGUGCCAGCAGCCGCAGUAA
This 485-nucleotide ribosomal RNA is filed under the name uncultured bacterium. Its description in RNAcentral is "partial 16S ribosomal RNA". It matches the Rfam family "Bacterial small subunit ribosomal RNA", at positions 28 to 523 of the family's 1533-position model. The record is from RNAcentral.